CUCCCUGUGGCUCAGUUGGUAGAGCAUGGUGUUUGCAACGCCAGGGUUGUGGGUUCAAUUCCCACGGGGGGC
Salmo salar (Atlantic salmon) is the source of this 72-nucleotide non-coding RNA. The record is from Rfam. NCBI's taxonomy places the organism in Eukaryota, Metazoa, Chordata, Actinopteri, Salmoniformes, Salmonidae.